RNAcentral lists this ribosomal RNA (406 nucleotides) under uncultured bacterium. RNAcentral describes it as "partial 16S ribosomal RNA". It matches the Rfam family "Bacterial small subunit ribosomal RNA", at positions 30 to 526 of the family's 1533-position model. The record is from RNAcentral.
AUUGAACGCUGGCGGCAGGCCUAACACAUGCAAGUCGAACGAGUGGCGGACGGGUGAGUAAUGUCUGGGACACUGCCUGAUGGAGGGGGAUAACUACUGUAACCGGUCGCUAAUACCGCAUACCAUCGGAUGUGCCCAGAUGGGAUUAGCUAGUAGGUGGGGUAAAGGCUCACCUAGGCGACGAUCCCGAGCUGGUCUGAGAGGAUGACCCGCCACACUGGAACUGAGACACGGUCCAGACACCGACGGGAGGCAGCAGUGGGGAAUAUUGAACAAUGGGCGCAAGCCUGAUGCAGCCAUGCCGCGUGUAUGAAGAAGGCCUUCGGGUUGUAAAGUACUUGCAGCGGGGAGGCGUUACCCGCAGAAGAAGCACCGGCUAACUCCGUGCCAGCAGCCGCGGUAAUUC